AUUGAACGCUGGCGGCAUGCCUUACACAUGCAAGUCGAACGGUAACAGGUCUUCGGAUGCUGACGAGUGGCGAACGGGUGAGUAAUACAUCGGAACGUGCCUAGUAGUGGGGGAUAACUACUCGAAAGAGUGGCUAAUAUCGCAUGAGAUCUACGGAUGAAAGCAGGGGAUCGCAAGACCUUGUGCUACUAGAGCGGCCGAUGGCAGUUUAGGUAGUUGGUGGGAUAAAAGCUUACCAAGCCGACGAUCUGUAGCUGGUCUGAGAGGGCGAUCAGCCACACUGGGACUGAGACACGGCCCAGACUCCUACGGGAGGCAGCAGUGGGGAAUUUUGGACAAUGGGCGAAAGCCUGAUCCAGCAAUGCCGCGUGAAGGAUGAAGGCCUUCGGGUUGUAAACUGCUUUUGUACGGAACGAAAAGCCCCGGGUUAAUACCCUGGGGUCAUGACGGUACCGUAAGAAUAAGCACCGGCUAACUACGUGCCAGCCGCCGCCGUAA
RNAcentral lists this ribosomal RNA (498 nucleotides) under uncultured bacterium. RNAcentral describes it as "partial 16S ribosomal RNA". It matches the Rfam family "Bacterial small subunit ribosomal RNA", at positions 30 to 523 of the family's 1533-position model. The record is from RNAcentral.